UUGAUCCUGGCUCAGAAUCAACGCUGGCGGCGUGCCUAACACAUGCAAGUCGAACGCGAAAGCCCCGCAAGGGGUAAGUAGAGUGGCGCACGGGUGAGUUACACGUGGAUAACCUGCCUUUGAGUGGGGAAUAACCUUCCGAAAGGAGGUCUAAUACCGCAUAACACCUUUAGGCAAAGGCCUAGGGGUUAAAAGGAGCUAUUCGCUCAAAGAGGGGUCCGCGCCUGAUUAGCUAGUUGGCGGGGUAACUGCCCACCAAGGCUUCGAUCAGUAGCCGUCCUGAGAGGGAGCACGGCCACUCUGGAACUGAGACACGGUCCAGACUCCUACGGGAGGCAGCAGUGGGGAAUUUUUGGCAAUGGGCGAAAGCCUGACCAAGCAACGCCGCGUGGGUGAUGAUGUAUCUUGGUACGUAAAACCCUUUCGGCAGGGACGAACCUAAUGACGGUUCCUGCGGAAGAAGCCCCGGCUAACUCCGUGCCAGCAGCCGCGGUAAUAAUGU
This 502-nucleotide ribosomal RNA is filed under the name uncultured Acidobacteriota bacterium. RNAcentral's name for it is "bacterial SSU rRNA". It matches the Rfam family "Bacterial small subunit ribosomal RNA", at positions 13 to 528 of the family's 1533-position model. The record is from RNAcentral. Lineage: Bacteria; Pseudomonadati; Acidobacteriota.